Molecule: non-coding RNA, 68 nt
Organism: Potamilus streckersoni
Lineage: Eukaryota; Metazoa; Mollusca; Bivalvia; Unionida; Unionidae
Source: the annotation of a GenBank genome assembly
GGUGGCCUAGUAGUUAGAGCGUCUGUCUCGGAUGCGGGAGAUCGCGGAUUCGAACCCCGACUGAAUCA